This 595-nucleotide ribosomal RNA is filed under the name Hansenula anomala. Its description in RNAcentral is "LSU rRNA". It matches the Rfam family "Eukaryotic large subunit ribosomal RNA", at positions 48 to 656 of the family's 3401-position model. Lineage: Eukaryota; Fungi; Ascomycota; Saccharomycetes; Phaffomycetales; Wickerhamomycetaceae. The record is from RNAcentral.
UAGCGGAGGAAAAGAAACCAACAGGGAUUGCCUCAGUAACGGCGAGUGAAGCGGCAAAAGCUCAAAUUUGAAAUCUAGCACCUUCGGUGUUCGAGUUGUAAUUUGAAGAUGGUAACCUUGGGUUUGGCUCUUGUCUAUGUUCCUUGGAACAGGACGUCAUAGAGGGUGAGAAUCCCGUCUGAUGAGAUGCCCAUUCCUAUGUAAGGUGCUAUCGAAGAGUCGAGUUGUUUGGGAAUGCAGCUCUAAGUGGGUGGUAAAUUCCAUCUAAAGCUAAAUAUUGGCGAGAGACCGAUAGCGAACAAGUACAGUGAUGGAAAGAUGAAAAGAACUUUGAAAAGAGAGUGAAAAAGUACGUGAAAUUGUUGAAAGGGAAGGGCAUUAGAUCAGACUUGGUGUUUUACGAUUAUCUUCUCUUCUUGAGUUGUGCACUCGUAUUUCACUGGGCCAGCAUCGAUUCGGAUGGCAAGAUAAUGGCAGUUGAAUGUGGCUUCACUUCGGUGGAGUGUUAUAGCUUCUGCUGAUAUUGCCUGUCUGGAUCGAGGGCUGCGUCUUUUGACUAGGAUGCUGGCGUAAUGAUCUAAUGCCGCCCGUCUUG